This 1931-nucleotide long non-coding RNA is filed under the name Homo sapiens (human). RNAcentral's name for it is "HSALNT0326868". The record is from RNAcentral. Lineage: Eukaryota; Metazoa; Chordata; Mammalia; Primates; Hominidae.
UUUAGGGCUUGCUGCAGAGAGGCUUACCCUUGUGUUUCCUUUUUCCUUUCUUUUAUUUGGGAAAUGUAGCAUAAGAGUAAUGGACAAAACUUAAAGUUCCAACUUGAGAGGCAAAGUUAACUUAUUAGAUCUGUGGUUAUUAUUCUGCUUCAUGGAUCACCCAUAUAGAGCAGGAGAGUUCUUGAACCUAACAGGCCUGUCCAUUUUCUUUUACCAUUGCAAAAACAACCCCAUCUGAGUGAGUAGAAGUAUGCUGCUGCUCUUUAUAUAAAAAACUUAAGUGAGAGAGAACCUUUAUGCAAUUACUAAUUUAUCUCAAAAAUUGAAGGACUUGCACAACUGCGAAUAUACUAAAAACCAUUGAAUUGUACGUUUUAAAUUGGUGAAUUGUAUGGUAUAUGAAUUAUGUCUCAACAAAGCUGUUCCUAAAAAAACUAAAGGCCAAGUGUUAUUAUUAUACACAUUAUCAGAUCUACUUAGAAGAUUUCUUGAGUUCUCAAUGGACUCUGCAUUAGGCUGUGCUUCUCUGAUGGAUAUACGUUCAGAAGUUGGCUGUGGACAAGUUUGCUACUUGUGAACUAUUAGAUAUUUGUUGACUUUUUCCCUGGCAAUUUUCUUAAGUAUCUUGUAAUAACUUAAUCUUGCUGCUUUCUGCUUCUGGCUGUGAAAUGAAAUUGGAAGCCCUUUAGCCACAUGGAUAAUACAGGACCUGAAUACAAAUGUCACAUGUCACCAUCAGGACCCACUGUGAGACAAUAGUGUUCCCACUCCAACACCGCGCCAUUACAGAUCAUUUAAAUAUGGGGAUUACAUUUAAACUAAAAGCCCCAUUUGCCUUUUACUGCAAUUUAAAUGUCCUCUUAGCAAAAGCUAAGUGACAAAUUAAAUGAAAAAAAUGCCCACAUUUUUAAAGUUGUAAUGCAAAACAACCUUUUAUUGCUUCUCAUGUGCCACGAAUGAAUCAUUAUACUUGUCAACCCUAAACCAAGCCAUAAUUGGAGCAGCUACUGUUAUCAAAGUGGGGCCGCUCUGUGACAGCUUAAUAAAGCUGAAACUGUUAAAUUAAAUCUCAGAUGCUUAACUCCUUAGCACUGGUGGAUUCGUUGGGUCCAUUUCUGGCAGUGACCAGUACACCAGGAAAAAAAAAAAAAAAAAAGAUUCCUGGCAUGAAAGCCCUAAUCUGAUGAAAGUGUACAAGCGAGAGUAUGCUAGCCAACCAAUAAUACUGAGGUUUAAGGAGGCUUGAUAACUUGCCCGAGGUCACAGUAGCAAAGCAGGAAUUUAAUCCCAGUAAUUCAUCAUCAUCUUCAAACUCUUAUGUAAGAUUUCACAUGGUUUGGCUUCUGAGUUUUUUUCCCCAAAAUAAGUUCUGAUAACUUUUAAUUUUAAGUUUCUAUAGAAGACUAUGGAACCUGGGCAUUAAAACUAAAAUGGCAGAGUGGAUGGUAGACUAGAAGUGUUUUGGCAAAGAUACUGUGGGAGGUGAUCCAGAGAGAGGGAAGCCGAAGGAAGAGUACGCACAUAGAGAAAAUGUUCAGUAACCCUGUUGGGUUGGGGAUGUGUUUCAGAAAUGCCUCCUGGUGGGAGUAGGUAAGGAUGCAGUUGAUAAUCCAGAAGCUAGGUGAUGCACACACCAGUGAUUUGAAAAUUGCCAAAGCAUCUCAGACCUUUAAAUCACUCUCUUUGCCUAUAGGCCCAGACUGGAGUCCUGGGAGCUAGAGAGAAUAAUGUCUACAGGAAAACAAAACACAUUUAAAAGUCGCUUAUUGAAACCAAGGGAAAAGGAGAAAUUGAAAUGUGUUUCAAUGCCAAGUGGAAAUUAAUUGUUCCAAGAACUCAUCAUUACAAGUUGCAGAAGUAUUUCAAGUUACUGAUUUUUGUUUAAUAUGUUGUCUUGUUUUAUUUUAUUAAAUGUAAAAUACUUAUAAGGG